GAUUUCUGGUAUGGCGCGCUUGGCCCGCCAGGGUUACCUGGUUGUGUGCUGGUGCGCGCCUGCCAUCCUUCUGCAUAUCAGUUCUAUCCUUUACUGGUGUGAACUGGUGUGCAGAUCUUUUACUUUGAAAAAAUUAGAGUGUUUCAAGCAGGCUUUAUGCUAUGAAUACAUUAGCAUGGAAUAAUAAUUUAGGACUUCGGUUCUAUUUUGUUGGUUUCUAGGACUGAAGUAAUGAUUGAUAGGGAUAGUUGGGGGUGCUAGUAUUCAGCGGCCAGAGGUGAAAUUCUCGGAUUCGCUGAAGACUAACUUAUGCGAAAGCAUU
This 322-nucleotide ribosomal RNA is filed under the name uncultured Cercomonas. RNAcentral's name for it is "SSU rRNA". The stretch from base 60 to 322 matches the Rfam family "Eukaryotic small subunit ribosomal RNA", at positions 692 to 955 of the family's 1831-position model. The record is from RNAcentral. Lineage: Eukaryota; Cercozoa; Cercomonadida; Cercomonadidae.